UUGGUUUUGCCGUCCCAGAUAAAGUUGUUUCUUUGGACAUGAAGUUGUCGAGUGGUCCUUUUUCUAAGUAGAAGUUACUACAAAAGGGUUCUUUUGAAGACCCUGACCUGGAUUUACAUGCUGACUUCGGUUCUUUGCGGGAAUGGGACCUGCUCUUGGGGUUUCACGACUGGCCAUUAUUCGACAUGCCAAGAGCGUGGCCUAAGAGGUUCGCUCGGCUUCGGAGGUCCAAGAUCUCGUGGCUCUGGAGAUAGGUGGAUCGAAGGUCACAAAAGAAGAGAGAACAGGUACUGAACACAAGUAGUCAACAAAGAACACUAGGAGCAACUAGUUGAGGCUGGCUGGUU
Molecule: long non-coding RNA, 347 nt
Organism: Mobula hypostoma (lesser devil ray)
Lineage: Eukaryota; Metazoa; Chordata; Chondrichthyes; Myliobatiformes; Myliobatidae
Exons: 3
Source: RefSeq, a predicted model, not a curated record